This 478-nucleotide ribosomal RNA is filed under the name uncultured bacterium. RNAcentral describes it as "partial 16S ribosomal RNA". It matches the Rfam family "Bacterial small subunit ribosomal RNA", at positions 28 to 523 of the family's 1533-position model. The record is from RNAcentral.
GACGAACGCUGGCGGCGUGCUUAACACAUGCAAGUCGAACGGAAAGGCCCUUCGGGGUACUCGAGUGGCGAACGGGUGAGUAACACGUGGGUGAUCUGCCCUGCACUUUGGGAUAAGCCUGGGAAACUGGGUCUAAUACCGAAUAGGACCGCAUGCUUCAUGGUGUGUGGUGGAAAGCUUUUGCGGUGUGGGAUGGGCCCGCGGCCUAUCAGCUUGUUGGUGGGGUAAUGGCCUACCAAGGCGACGACGGGUAGCCGGCCUGAGAGGGUGACCGGCCACACGGGGACUGUGGUACGGCCCAGCCCCCUGCGGGAGGCAGCAGGGGGGAAUUUUGCAAAAGGGGCGCAAGGCUGAGGCAGGGACGCGGCGUGAGGGAUGACGGCCUUCGGUUUGUAAACCUCUUUCAGCAGGGACGAAGCGCAAGUGACGGUGCCGGCAGAAGAAGGACCGGCCAACUACGUGCCAGCCGCCGCGGUAA